AGGAGGAACAACCAUGGUGGUGGCAGCAGCUCUGGAAACCUGGAUUCAGCCCCCACAGGAACUCUGAGGCACUUGACCUGCAGGGCCUGGAGGCUCCGGGGUGCG
Molecule: microRNA precursor, 105 nt
Filed under: Canis lupus familiaris (dog)
Lineage: Eukaryota; Metazoa; Chordata; Mammalia; Carnivora; Canidae
Description: mir-8834 microRNA precursor family
Rfam family: mir-8834 microRNA precursor family
Source: Rfam by way of RNAcentral